AGAAUCAACGCUGGCGGCGUGCCUAACACAUGCAAGUCGAACGCGAAAGCCCCGCAAGGGGUGAGUAGAGUGGCAAACGGGUGAGUAACACGUGGGUGAUCUGCCUCAGAGUGGGGGAUAACGACCCGAAAGGGUCGCUAAUACCGCAUAACAUCCUGCCUUUGGAUAGGUGGAGAUCAAAGUUGGGGAUCCGCAAGGACCUGACGCUUGGAGAGGAGCCCGCGGCCGAUUAGCUAGUUGGUGAGGUAACGGCUCACCAAGGCAACGAUCGGUA
RNAcentral lists this ribosomal RNA (274 nucleotides) under uncultured bacterium. Its description in RNAcentral is "partial small subunit ribosomal RNA". It matches the Rfam family "Bacterial small subunit ribosomal RNA", at positions 26 to 285 of the family's 1533-position model. The record is from RNAcentral. RNAcentral also lists the same sequence under 1 other name.